CCUGGAAUGGGCGCAAGCCUGACCGCCUGCCGCGUGAGGGAUGAAGGCCUUCGGGUUGUAAAGCUCUUUAGUCCACGAAUAUAAUGACUGUAGUGGAAGAAUAAGCCCCGGCUAACUUCGUGCCAGCAGCCGCGGUAAUACGAGGGGGGCGAGCGUUGUUCGGAAUCACUGGGCGUAAAGAGUGCGUAGGCGGUUAUGAAAGUUAGAAGUGAAAGCCCAGAGCUCAACUCUGGAAUCGCUUUUAAAACUACAUAACUCGAAUUCGGGAGAGGAUAGCGGAAUUGUCAGUGUAGCAGUGAAAUGCGUAGAUAUUGACAGGAACACCAGUGGCGUAAGCGGCUAUCUGGACCGACAUUGACGCUGAGGCACGA
This 371-nucleotide ribosomal RNA is filed under the name uncultured bacterium. Its description in RNAcentral is "bacterial SSU rRNA". It matches the Rfam family "Bacterial small subunit ribosomal RNA", at positions 363 to 756 of the family's 1533-position model. The record is from RNAcentral.